RNAcentral lists this transfer RNA (65 nucleotides) under Conosia irrorata. Its description in RNAcentral is "tRNA-Ile". The record is from RNAcentral. Lineage: Eukaryota; Metazoa; Arthropoda; Insecta; Diptera; Limoniidae.
AAUGAAUUGCCCGAUAAAAGGAUUACCUUGAUAGGGUAAAUAAUGUAAUAAAAUUACAUUCAUUA